CCAUUCCGCCUAGGGUUAUGCCGC
RNAcentral lists this non-coding RNA (24 nucleotides) under Arabidopsis thaliana (thale cress). The record is from RNAcentral. Lineage: Eukaryota; Viridiplantae; Streptophyta; Magnoliopsida; Brassicales; Brassicaceae.